AACGAACGCUGGCGGCAUGCCUAACACAUGCAAGUCGAACGAGACCUUCGGGCCUAGUGGCGCACGGGUGCGUAACGCGUGGGAAUCUGCCCUUGGGUUCGGAAUAACAGUUAGAAAUGACUGCUAAUACCGGAUAAUGUCUUCGGACCAAAGAUUUAUCGCCCAGGGAUGAGCCCGCGUAGGAUUAGCUAGUUGGUGAGGUAAAGGCUCACCAAGGCGACGAUCCUUAGCUGGUCUGAGAGGAUGAUCAGCCACACUGGGACUGAGACACGGCCCAGACUCCUACGGGAGGCAGCAGUGGGGAAUAUUGGGACAAUGGGCGAAAGCCUGAUCCAGCAAUGCCGCGUGAGUGAUGAAGGCCUUAGGGUUGUAAAGCUCUUUUACCCGGGAUGAUAAUGACAGUACCGGGAGAAUAAGCCCCGGCUAACUCCGUGCCAGCAGCCGCGGUAAU
RNAcentral lists this ribosomal RNA (451 nucleotides) under uncultured bacterium. RNAcentral describes it as "bacterial SSU rRNA". It matches the Rfam family "Bacterial small subunit ribosomal RNA", at positions 29 to 524 of the family's 1533-position model. The record is from RNAcentral.